RNAcentral lists this ribosomal RNA (253 nucleotides) under uncultured bacterium. RNAcentral's name for it is "partial 16S ribosomal RNA". It matches the Rfam family "Bacterial small subunit ribosomal RNA", at positions 524 to 776 of the family's 1533-position model. The record is from RNAcentral.
UACAGAGGUCUCAAGCGUUGUUCGGAUUCAUUGGGCGUAAAGGGCGCGUAGGCUGCGGGGCAAGUCGGGUGUGAAAUCUCAGAGCUCAACUCUGAAACUGCACUCGAUACUGCUUUGCUCGAGGACUGGAGAGGAGAUUGGAAUUCACGGUGUAGCAGUGAAAUGCGUAGAUAUCGUGAGGAAGACCAGUGGCGAAGGCGGCCCUCUGGCUCGACCCUGACGCUGAGGCGCGAAAGCGUGGGGAGCGAACGGG